UAUAAAUUGAGUUUGGUGAUGGCUCUGAUUGAAUGCUGUCCAAGUGCUUGACACAUGCUAAUCGUACGUUUUAAUAAUAAAUAUUAAAAAGUGGUGUACAGGUGAGUAUUAGAUAUUUUUUGCCUAUCUUAAAGAGAAGGUAGAUCCUUCAUAUUAAUAAAGAGGUAACGACAUAAAAUACAUUAUGUUGUCUGCCUUGCUUUAAGAGGAUGAUAAUUAUCAUCGAGACAGGUAGUAGUUAAGGUGAUGACUUAACUAGCCGACAACUCUCGUAGUCGUAUCUGAAAGGUUGAUCGACCACAUUGGGUCUGAAAAAAGCCCAAUGCAUAUAAGUACAGCAGUGAGGAAUCUUGGUCAAUGGCCUAACGGCUGAACUGGCAACUUGGAGGAGUGAUAAGUCUUAAGUGUCGAUUUUCAUUUAAGAUUUUAUUGAACAUCGAAUGAAGCUUUGUCUAUAUAUUGAUAAUGACAAUAUAUAUAUUACGUCUUGACCAAUUACGUGCCAGCAGUCGCGGUAAUACGUAAAAGACUAGUGUUAUUCAUAAGGAUUAGGUUUAAAGGGUACUUAGAUGGUCAUAAUAGCUUGUAAUAAUGUAACUAUUAGACUAGAGUUAUAUGUAAGAGGGCAGAACUUGCGGAGGAGAGAUAAAAUUCUUUGAUCCCAAAGGGACUGGUAACGGCGAAGGCAGCCCUUUAUGUAAUAACUGACAUUGAAGGACGAAGGCAUUGAUAACAAACAGGAUUAGAUACCCUUAGUAGUCUUUGCAGUCAAUGAUGAAUGCCAUAAGUUAGAUUUUAAAUUUAAUAAACGGAAAUAAAUCUUAUUAUUAAAUAGUAUUUAGCUUAUAAAUAAAAGUGUAAGCAUUCCACCUCAAGAGUAAUGUGGCAACGCAGGAACUGAAAUCACUAGACCGUUUCUGACACCAGCAGUGAAGUAUGUUGUUUAAUUCGAUGACCCACGAAAAACCUUACCGCGGUUUGUAUAACUUUUUAGUUACAGGUAUUGCACGGUUGUUUUCAGUUAAUGUUGUGAAACUGUGUUUUUUUUACAUGAAAUUAACGUAAUCCCUAACUUUAUUUCGUAGAUUUACGAUAAAGUGUUCAUUUCACCAAAAGUGAAAUUAGUGAGAAAGGGGACUAAGACAAAUCAUCAUGGUCUUAAUACCGCGGGCUACAGACGUGCCACGUACUCCUAUAACAAAGAGAUGCAAAAAUGUGAAUUUAAGCUAAUCUCAGAAAAAAGGAUAUAAAUUAGAUAUGGAUUGUAGUCUGAAACUCGACUAUUUGAAAAAGUAAUUGCUAGUAAUCGUGAAUCACCAUGUCACGGUGAAUUUCUCUCGGAUUGGUACUAACCACUCGUCACAUGCUGAAAGGAGUUUACACAAUAAGUUUGCUUUUUUAGUUAUAAGCACUUGAACAAAUAGGUUCAUUCUUAAGCUGAAAAUCUUCGUAUGUGUAAUUCUAAUUAGUGUAAAGUCGAAAUACGGUUCGUGUAGCGGAAGUUGCACGGGAAGCAUUAUUAUU
Molecule: ribosomal RNA, 1524 nt
Filed under: Hapsidospora chrysogena
Lineage: Eukaryota; Fungi; Ascomycota; Sordariomycetes; Hypocreales; Bionectriaceae
Also listed under: 1 other name
Description: SSU rRNA
Rfam family: Bacterial small subunit ribosomal RNA
Source: RNAcentral